CAGGGACUACCGUUGCUGCUGCGGCCUCCUCCCUCCGUCUACAGGUUAGCUAUAAAUAAGGAUAAGAGUAAGAAGAAUAAGUCGAUCGAGGAAUAGCCAAGGAUCAGAGAAUAUAUAGGAUUUUUGCUAAUUCUUGAUCAUGGCAUCCCCACCCAACAGAGACCAGCAACGGGAGAAAGACUACGCAGAUGCCGACGUUGGGGCUUAUCAGAGCGCUGGCCUUCCUCGGCGUAGCGCUUAUUUCCAAGUUGGUCGGAGGGGCCCUCCCCGCUCGACAAGCUAUACCAAGAUCGACACCUGUGGAAGAGGCCCGCAACAGCACCAGGUGAGAUAAUGGCACGGGGAAGGAGACGCAGCGACGACCACUGUUCCGGCCACUGUGGCCUCCUUCCUCUGUCGAGAAUUCUACAUAACUAAUCAAUCCCCCCAUGUUUUUUCUUACUAAUCACAAACUUUACGCACAUACAUGCAUGCAUCUUAUUUUCAGUUUCUUGGUAAUUACAACGGUGGUGCAAUUUGAUAUAUAUAUAUAUAUGUAUAUAUGUAGUAGGGUUGCAAAAGAAGGCAGAGGAGGCGAGGAAGAGGGAGGAUCAAGAAGAAGAAGAUAAUAAUGUGUUCGAGAAGAUCAGUCUUCUGUGACGCUUAAGUUGUAUUACCUUCAAAAUGGAAGUGCAAGACUUGGAUUCUGGAUUAGAGGGAGGGAAUUCUUGCUUCCUGUGGGGAUUGUUUUAAAGGUUUUCUUUAGUCCACGUGGAGGUAUUUCCUUAAUUUGGGCAGGUAUACUUUUUGAUUAAAUUCCAUUUUCUUUUGUCGACAUAUCAGUAUUUUCUUAUAUUUGAGCUUUUGUACGAAAUACCUGUCAGUUUAACUAUUUUGCUUAAUUAUAGGUUUGUAUAGGAUUUGUGUCAGCACUAUGUGUCAGCUUAACUUAUCUAUCAGCUUAACUCAUAUUUUACAAAGUAAAUUAACUAGGAUGGCAAUUGCGAAAUAAUUGCAACCAGUGUGUUCUGUAUAUUAUUUUUUUCGAUUGUUGUGAUGGUGUUUUUUUGCUAUUCCUGUUUAAAAUUAUUUACUAUAAGUUCUGCAAUUUAUAUAUUCUAAUUAAUUUUGUAAGUUGCUGCUUCACUUGAUUUUUGUACUACUGCAAUCGUAUAUUUUUGGGACAGCCGGUUAGUAACAUUUCUUAACCAACUUUUCCUAUUAGUCUUAUUUCAUUCUUUUUUUAAUUCUUUAUUGACUAUUGUCUUUUCUUUCAUCUAACUCUUGCACUCUUUCCUCGACUUCUACAGCUCUUAAUUUUGUUGUAUCUAUGGUCAUUCCUGCUGCUGGUGCAUUAACUGCUUAUACUUUUAUUUGUUUGUUAUUUAAAAUUUUAUAGUUCUUUUAUGUAUUUACUAUUUCGUCUUUCUUUAGCUUUUUUUUAUAAGAUCUCAAAUAUUUCUUCAGUUUAACUACGCAUCAAAUUUUAUUCUUUUAUGUUUUAUUUUUCUUACUCUUUUUUUUUUUCUCUAUGUUGCAAGUAUGAUAUGUUAUUUACAUUAUAACGAAAAUAAUUAAUU
Ananas comosus (pineapple) is the source of this 1559-nucleotide long non-coding RNA. RefSeq lists it as uncharacterized. The transcript has 4 exons. NCBI's taxonomy places the organism in Eukaryota, Viridiplantae, Streptophyta, Magnoliopsida, Poales, Bromeliaceae. The record is from RefSeq and is a predicted model, not a curated record.